Molecule: ribosomal RNA, 318 nt
Filed under: uncultured bacterium
Lineage: Bacteria
Description: partial 16S ribosomal RNA
Source: RNAcentral
UCCCGGGAACGUAUUCACCGCGGCAUUCUGAUCCGCGAUUACUAGCAAUUCCAACUUCAUGCAGGCGAGUUGCAGCCUGCAAUCUGAACUGGGACGCGUUUUUGGGAUUUGCUCUACCUCGCGGUUUUGCUCCCCUCUGUUUGCGCCAUUGUAGUACGUGUGUGGCCCAGGGCGUAAGGGGCAUGAUGAUUUGACGUCAUCCCCACCUUCCUCCGUUUUGUCAACGGCAGUCCUGUUAGAGUGCUCUUGCGUAGCAACUAACAGUAAGGGUUGCGCUCGUUGCGGGACUUAACCCAACAUCUCACGACACGAGCUGAC